CUUUUUGAGGCCUGACAUCUCCCGGCAGUCACAGUGAUGUCUUCCUUAGAUAGAUUCAAUACUGGGGAAGAACAGGUGAAAAGUGGUGAAAGUUGCUAAAUGCUGUGUUCCUCUGCUUGCUUUUCAUGCUGGGUGCCAGGAAUCAAAGCUGCAGGAGUGGAAGAGAUACAGGGAGUCCACAGAGCCUCCCCUGCAAGCAUCAGUACAGAGGUUGAUGAUAAUCUGGAUGCAAGUCCAGGAGUGUGGGGUCCACGACUCAGAAGACCUGCAUCUAAGGAAUUGGCUGUCCUUAUCCUUAACAAUAAUUUUUUAAUAAUGUAAGCUAUACACAUACAUGCUUUCAACAUACAACGCCCUGACUAUCAUAUAAUGGAUAUUUCAAGAAGUAAACGUUCAGCAUGUCUUCACCCCCACUUGAAGACAUAAUGUAUCAAUUAGGCUGUUCUUGCAUUGCUAUAAAGAAAUACCUGAGACUGUGGAAUUUAUAAGAAAAGCAGUUUAAUUGGCUCACGGUUCUGAAGGCUGUACAGGAAGCAUAUUGGGUCUACUUCGUCUACUUCCGUGGAGACCUCAGGGAACUUUGACUUAUGGUGAAAGGUGAAAUGGGAGCAGGCACCUCAUGUGACUGAAGCAGGAGCAAGAAAGAGAGAGUGACCGAGGUACCACACACUUUUAAACAACCGGAACUCUCUUUUCAGAAUUCACUCACUAUCUUGCGGACAGCACCAAAGGAAUGGUCCUAAACCAUCCAUGAGAAAUCCUCCCCCGUGAUCCAAUCACCUUUCACCAGGCCCUACCCCCAACGCUGGGAUUACAGUUCAACGUGAGAUUUGGGCCUGGACACAGAUCCAAACCCUAUCAAUAUAUUGGCCAGACGCUUGCAGCUAUAUGAAGAAUACCCUGGUUACCCAGCCACAAAUGCAGAUGUUAUUGAUAAGGGAGGGGGCAGGGAAGUGCUGGGAGGAGAAGGGCAGGUCUCUGGUGAGGGCUCCACCCUGGGGCCUGUGCCCACAGACCUGGGUGAGGGCAGGCACUCCGGCCUUUGCGUCCAAAUGUUGCUUUUCCCAAG
This 1069-nucleotide long non-coding RNA is filed under the name Piliocolobus tephrosceles (Ugandan red Colobus). RNAcentral's name for it is "lncRNA (ENSPTEG00000024235.1)". Lineage: Eukaryota; Metazoa; Chordata; Mammalia; Primates; Cercopithecidae. The record is from RNAcentral.